This 324-nucleotide ribosomal RNA is filed under the name uncultured eukaryote. RNAcentral's name for it is "partial 18S ribosomal RNA". It matches the Rfam family "Eukaryotic small subunit ribosomal RNA", at positions 1470 to 1796 of the family's 1831-position model. The record is from RNAcentral.
CCCUUAGAUGUUCUGGGCCGCACGCGCGCUACACUGACGAAUGCAACGAGCUUAUAACCUUGGCCGAAAGGUCUGGGUAAUCUCCAAAUUUCGUCGUGAUGGGGAUAGAUUAUUGCAAUUAUUAAUCUUCAACGAGGAAUUCCUAGUAGGUGCAAAUCAUCAGUUUGCAUCGAUUACGUCCCUGCCCUUUGUACACACCGCCCGUCGCUGCUACCGAUUGAGUGUCCUGGUGAAUUAUUCGGACCGACAGCAUCGGAAGUUUCUUCUGUUGCCGUUGGAAAGUCUUGUAAACCCUGACACUUAGAGGAAGCAGAAGUCGUAACA